Molecule: ribosomal RNA, 486 nt
Filed under: uncultured bacterium
Lineage: Bacteria
Description: partial 16S ribosomal RNA
Rfam family: Bacterial small subunit ribosomal RNA
Source: RNAcentral
AUCGAACGCUGGCGGCAUGCCUUACACAUGCAAGUCGAACGGCAGCACGGGUGCUUGCACCUGGUGGCGAGUGGCGAACGGGUGAGUAAUACAUCGGAACAUGUCCUGUAGUGGGGGAUAGCCCGGCGAAAGCCGGAUUAAUACCGCAUACGAUCUACGGAUGAAAGCGGGGGACCUUCGGUCCUCGCGCGAUAGGGUUGGCCGAUGGCUGAUUAGCUAGUUGGUGGGGUAAAGGCCUACCAAGGCGACGAUCAGUAGCUGGUCUGAGAGGACGACCAGCCACACUGGGACUGAGACACGGCCCAGACUCCUACGGGAGGCAGCAGUGGGGAAUUUUGGACAAUGGGCGAAAGCCUGAUCCAGCAAUGCCGAGUGUGUGAAGAAGGCCUUCGGGUUGUAAAGAAGUUUUGUCCGGAAAGAAAUCCUUGGCCCUAAUACGGUCGGGGGAUGACGGUACCGGAAGAAUAAGCACCGGCUAACUACGUG